CCCACCGUAGCUCAACGGUAGAGUGCACGGCUGUAGCCCGUGAGGUUCCCGGUUCAAAUCCGGGUGGUGGGA
RNAcentral lists this transfer RNA (72 nucleotides) under Candidatus Woesearchaeota archaeon. Its description in RNAcentral is "tRNA-Tyr". It matches the Rfam family "tRNA". From Rfam's summary of the family: Transfer RNA (tRNA) molecules are approximately 80 nucleotides in length. Their secondary structure includes four short double-helical elements and three loops (D, anti-codon, and T loops). Further hydrogen bonds mediate the characteristic L-shaped molecular structure. tRNAs have two regions of fundamental functional importance: the anti-codon, which is responsible for specific mRNA codon recognition, and the 3' end, to which the tRNAs corresponding amino acid is attached (by aminoacyl-tRNA synthetases). tRNAs cope with the degeneracy of the genetic code in two manners: having more than one tRNA (with a specific anti-codon) for a particular amino acid; and 'wobble' base-pairing, i.e. permitting non-standard base-pairing at the 3rd anti-codon position. Lineage: Archaea; Nanobdellati; Candidatus Woesearchaeota. The record is from RNAcentral.